This 221-nucleotide unclassified non-coding RNA is filed under the name plant metagenome. Its description in RNAcentral is "partial contains small subunit ribosomal RNA and internal transcribed spacer 1". The stretch from base 1 to 46 matches the Rfam family "Eukaryotic small subunit ribosomal RNA", at positions 1786 to 1831 of the family's 1831-position model. The record is from RNAcentral.
AAGUCGUAACAAGGUUUCCGUAGGUGAACCUGCGGAAGGAUCAUUAGUGAAUGACCAAACGCUUGGGUGUCUCUGCUUCGGCAAGCCCCUCGCACCCUUCACAUCCAUAACACCUCGUGCACCUGUAAGAUGACUCUCUGGACUUCGGUCCUUGGGUCGUCAUGACCUUUUUUACAAAACUAUUAUAUGUAACAAAUGUAGUCUUAUUAUACAAAAUAAAA